Molecule: ribosomal RNA, 468 nt
Filed under: uncultured bacterium
Lineage: Bacteria
Description: partial 16S ribosomal RNA
Rfam family: Bacterial small subunit ribosomal RNA
Source: RNAcentral
GACGAACGCUGGCGGCGUGCUUAACACAUGCAAGUCGAACGGAAAGUCCCUGCUUUUGUGGGGUGCUCGAGUUGCGAACUGGUGAGUAACACUUGAGUAACCUGCCCUUGACUUUGGGAUAUCUUCAUGAAACUUGGUCUCAUACCGGAUAGGAUCUCUUGCUUCUUGGUGGGGGUUGGAUAGUUUCGGCGGUUGGGGAUGGACUCGCGUCUUAUCGGCUUGUUGGUGGGGUAGUGUCUUACCAUGGCUUUGACGGGUAGCAGGGCUGAGAGGGUGACCGGACAAAUUGGGACGGAGAUGAGGCACAGACUCGUACGGGACGCAGCGGAGGAGAAUAGUACAUAAUGGGCGGAAGGAAGGUGCAGCAAAGCAGCGUGCGGGAUGAGGGGAAUCGGGUUGUAAACCAAAUUCGCCUGUGACGAAGCGUGAGUGACGGUAAUGGGUAAAGAAGCACCGGCUAACUACGUG